RNAcentral lists this long non-coding RNA (7646 nucleotides) under Ananas comosus (pineapple). Its description in RNAcentral is "long non-coding RNA (ACOM_LNC016129)". The record is from RNAcentral. Lineage: Eukaryota; Viridiplantae; Streptophyta; Magnoliopsida; Poales; Bromeliaceae.
ACUUUGCCACCGCCAGCCUCGGCACCCGCGACUUACAGGCCGUGUCCACCGCUGUUGGCCGUGAGGGUACGACACUGUAAAAUAACCGUUUUUCUCUGAAACCUAAAAAAAAAAAUCUCCUGUAAAAAUAGAAAACAAGAAAAUUUUACGUACUAGAGAGCGUCCCAACAGAAAGACAGUCUGAUCAAUCUCAGCCGGCAAAACUUGAGAGAUAUUUUUUAAUAUUUUAUAUUUGACAGGCACGCCGAAGCAGGCAUAUACGGUCGAGAGCGUAAAGAAGAUGUCCGCCCCAGGAUCCGAGCUGGUGGCGUGCCACGGCAUGAAGUACGCGUACGCGGUGUUCCACUGCCACACGACGACCGCGGCCGCCUACACCGUAUCGAUGGCGGGCGCCGACGGGACGAGGGUGAAGGCGCUCGCAGCGUGCCACACCGACGCGGCGGCCGGGGUCGAGGAGGCGUUCAAGAAGCUCAACGUCAAGCCCGGGAGCGUGCCGGUGUGCCACUUCCUUCCCCAGGAUGAUCUCCUGUGGAGCCGCAAUUAACAUGGCUGAUCAGGACAUGCGAAUUAUAACGUGUAAUGGACGGCUAUAGAUUAUAAUCCGGUCUGUGAUCCACGGUUUAUUGGGCCAGCUUAUUGGUGUACUAGCGUGUACGUGUGUUGUACUAUGUUUUCUGUGUCCAUGCAGACAUGGUUUGUCCUCGUCCAUAUCUAAACUGUAUCCAUGUUUCCUCUAUGUUAUAUAAAUAAGAAAACUUAUUUUAAAAUGUUGGUUUCCUGUAGAAACGAAUGCGUGCAACUAAUUGAGAUCUCACUUGAAAAUGCCUUGGGCAAAUGCACUCAUGUCUAUGUGAUAGUGAAUUCCUGCCAUCAUUUUAUAAUAUUUUUUUUAAAAAAAGAACUCAAAGAUAUUUAAAUUAUUUUUCAAAAAGAAUCUAUAUUGUCAAAAUUAGUUUUGAUAUUACCAGAAAAGGCUAGGCAAUAGCAGAAACUUCUGUGGCAAGUGGCAACAUCAGUUUCCAAUUUCAGAUAUCUUUUGAACUAUCAAAUCCAGGAGAAGAUAAUGUGUUUCCCAACUGGGCCUUAGCAAGUUAACGGGUUUGUUCGGCAGUGCUAAGUGGGCCCGAACGAUGAUGGGCCUCAUAGACCCUAUGGGUUGUGUACUGUAAUCGGAGCCGGAUCUUGAUGCGCUCGAUUCUGCUCCGCAUCAGGUUUAGUUUGGUCCUAAUUUGACUAGGGGUCAAACGCGAGUGGUGCGCUUGGGUGCGAGAUCCUCGGGCACAGACGACUCAGGGCGCCGUGCGGUGGAAUUGUAUCCCGUGCACGGCCCACGUGCCGCAAAUGGGCCGGAGGCUAGCCCGCCCGGCCACCCAAAAUCGGCCGUGCUUGUGGCCGGGGCCAAAAUUCUUGGAACCCGGCGCCAGCACGGCCGCUUUGGCACCGCACUGUUGCACCGGCCGUGCGGGCCGGCCGGGCAGUUCGGGCAGCCCUUUUUUUAUUUUAUCAAUUUUAUUUUAAAAAUUUUAAUAUUUUAAAAAUUAAAAAUAAAAAAUAUUUUUUAAAAAAAAUAUAUAUCAAUGAGCCUGGAAGAGGCCCAAAGCCCAAACUCCCAUGCAUUGGGAGUUGGACCAUUGGGAGUUGGAUUGUGUGUUGGAUUGUAAGCCACUCCCAUCAUUGGGAUGUUGGGGUUUGUAACAAGGCCUUGGGAGUUGGUUCCCAACUCGGGUUAGCCAACUCCUACGCCUAUAGCCCAAUCCAUGCCUGGCCGCGGCUCAAAGACGGCCUGCCACAUCGGCCGGCCGUGCUGUGCCGUGGGCCGGGCCCGGGCCAAGGUAAUUCUCAGGCCGCACGGCAAAGCCGCCGGGUCGUGCGGGGCCGUCCGGCCAGCGGCCACAGUAAGCUAAGGCCCCAGCACACUAGGUUGAUGCCGGCCGGGCUGGCAACGGCCCGCUACACGUACUGCGUGGCCGUGCCUGGCCCAGCCGACUCUCGUGCCGGGCCAGGCGGGCCGCGGGCCGCCCGGCCCGUUUGACACCCCUACAGACGACUCAGGGCGCCGUGUGGUGGAAUUGUAUCCCGUGCUCUCUCUCUCUCUCUCUCUCUCUCUCUCUCUCUCUGUUUCUCCCACGUUACGAUCCAUUUCCCCAACUCGAUCGCCCCCGACGAAACCCUCGUCGUCGUCAACCUCCUCCCCCCUCUCCGCCGCGCCAUGAAACCCUCGCAGAAUAAGAAGAAGAGCAGGAAGAAGAAGCCGAAGCCCUCUUCUCCCCUUCCGCCGCCCUCCCAAAGAUCCGACGCUGAAUCGAAGGGGGACGAAGGCGAGGAGAGGAAGGACCUGGAUUGGUUGAUCGACGAUACUAACCAAUCCAUUGAUUGUUAGCUAAAAAAAGAUUAUUUUAUAUAUUUUUUCUCAACUUUGAAAAUGUUUUUUAAAUUUUCUCUCACUUGGAGUCUGAUGAGAUUUUAAGCUCAAAGAUUUAAGUAUCCUAGUACGGAAUCAUGUCAAAAUUUCAUGCGUGUCGAAUAGUAUCGAUACGUGUAUACUGGUCAUAAAAAAUAUAUUUGUGCCGACACAUAAUGUCAUGAAAUAUUUAUUUUUUUUAGCAAUAUAAUAUUACAACCGUUAAUUAUAUAUCUUUAUCAAAUAUUUUAAAUUUUAUUGAAAAAAAUUAUUUACUAAUUUAAAAAAUAUAGAGUUUUGAGCUGUGCAAUCAGUACGAGGGCAGUAUCGUGCCGAUAUCUUGUUGACAUGAUAUAGUACGAUGGAUACGGCCGGUAUUGAUGGAUAUACUUAAAUUCUUUCGUUUAAACUUGUUGGUAGCCAAAUUCCCUAAUCCCUGACCCGGUCAAAGAUACCCCUCAGGAAGCGCGUCGGGAUGCGAAACAGCUGCGAAUAGUGACCCUCGAAGUUUGCACCCUUCGACUGGAUCAAGCGAUUCGGCUAAUGAGGGAUCGGAUCAGCCGAGUUCAAAAAUCUCUACUUUUAAAUCUGUUCGGCUGGAUGAGCCGAAUGUAUGGACUGUGCAGGGAUCAAUGUCGGCAGAAGAGCCGAAUGGAAGAAGUAUACAGUAACUGGUCGGCUGAAAGAGCCGAAUACCUAUAUAUACAUAUUAAUAAAACAAAGUGUGCCUGAAGGGCAUACAGACUCUGCAAAUAUGUAGUUUACAACAGAGUGAUACCCGUGGGGCAGACAGACUUCAGAAUUCUAUUUAAAAGCUACUCCUAUGAAAACAAUAAAUGCGAAAAAGAAAAUAUUACAUUUAGACUACUUCUAGAAAGCAAUAAAUGCAGAAAAUGAAAGAUAUGAAAAUGCGGCGGUCUUCUCGUUUACAGAAGAGAAAGACCGCUAUUGCAGGCUUUGAAAUUACUAUUUAUAGUAAUAUCAACUCACAUUAUUGGUUGGUUAAAAGUAGUGGGGGGAGUGGUUGUAACCAUGAUCGUGGAGGUUACGCCCACUCCUCAUAGAAGUUACGCCCUAUCGUAGAAGUUACGCCAACUUUUCAUGGAAGUUACGGCCCACUUCUCAACCGUUCUCGCCUAAACCUUCAGUCGCCUUAUUGCCUGCCGACUCCUGAUGUGCUACGCAGGGACGAAGCCAGAAUUCAAUCACAAGGGGGGCCAAAAUAUGUACAAAUAAAAAGUUUAGCAGAUAAAUAAAAUUUUAACUACUCAAAUUUUUAAUAAAAAAAUUUAGUGAUUAGAUAAUUAAUGUUAAAAAAUAUUAAAUUUAUUUUUUUAAUUUACACUUGCUUAACUUCUAAUUAUUUUAUUUGUAUUAUUUCAUUCAAAUAAUUUAAGAAUUUUACUAAAUCUAAUAAAAAUUUAGUUAGAAUUUAAUUUUUUUUAAAUUUUUGUUAAUAAAAUAAUAACAACCAAUGACUAAUAUCUAACAGAGCUAUUAAAUUUAGCAUACUAUUUUAUUUAGUUAAAUAAAUUAGCUCAUCAAAAUAAUUGGAAAGUUAAGAAUGUAUAAAUAAAAUAUUUAAAGUUGAAAGGACUUAUUUCAAAAUGCACUAUAAUUAAAAGGUUCUUAAUAUAUUUUCACCUAUAAAACACAUAAGAAGAGAGAGAGAGCUCUAUAUUAGCACUAAAAACUUUUUACAAAAUAGGCCGAUAUAUUUUAAAAAUUAACUGAAAAUAUAUAAACUACCAAAGAACUAUAAAGUAAAUAUUGAAAAGUUGAAGAGGGUCAUAGCUCCUUUGGGUCUAUAUAUGGAGUCUUGGCCCACAAGGCAACAAUUCUUUUCAAAAAUUUUCACUUUGGUCCCCUAAAUUUACAAUAUUUUAAUUUUUUUAAUAGCUUACUAGUGGAUUGUUCUGUAAUUUUAAAAAUGGGGGGGGGGUAUGGCCAUUGUCGGCCCCCACAUGGCUCCGUCCCUGGUGCUACGUAUCUUUAUUGAUUCAUACGUGGUUUACUUAAUUUUAAUUUUGGCAUCAAUAAAACUCAUGACUUCUUAAUUUACUACCAUGCACGUAAACUUUAUUUUCAGCAUUUAUAAUUCACAACAACCAAAACAACCAGAAAGAAUCUGUGACAUUACACCGGCCCGUGAAUGACCAUAGGCGUCAAAAUCCAAAUUAAUACUCGGCUCCAUUUGCUCCAUGAUUGCAUUGGGUCGAGCCCAUGCUCGUGCUAGAAUCACUUUCUCUCACAGUCGCCUCUUUAUGGGAGAUAGCCCACCUCUAUGGCUCUAUGCUGGCCUUUUUCUCUACCCCUACCUCUAUAAAUCCAACCCUGUUCCUCCUCACACCAUGCACAACAACAACUACUAUAUAUUUCUCAUUAAUUAAUUAAUUCGAUCUCUCUUGAAUCCAUGGCUCGCCUUUUGCCUCUCCUCUCCUUUCUUUUGGUGAGCAAAUUCAUAUACGCGACAUGCAUGCUUUCGUUAAAACAAGUGAUUCUGUAGAAGCUCUAGCUAAGUUGAAUCGGCGUGCGAUAACGUGACAUAAGUUGUGUUUUUAAGUGGAUCUAGAUAUAUAUGAUUAACUGUGCGUAAAUUAAGGAGAAAACAUUUGAUGUUCGCGCGUAUAUACAACGUGCGGCACCAGCUUAGUACCUUUUAGACCUAGAAAUGAUCAAAAUAACUGAAAUUCGUAGAAUUAUGAUUUUUUUAAAUUUUUACUUUCUUCGUGGUUUUAUUUGGCAGAUAAUGUUGUCUUUUUCCCUCACAAUUUAUUAUUUUAUUUUAUUUUUUAUAUAUAACAAAUUAUUGAUUGAUAUUUGUAUAUUUCAGCUGGCCAUUGCAGUAGGAGCGAGACAUGCAGCUUCGCCUGCAGAGGUCUACUGGCAGAACGUCCUGCCCAACUCUCCCAUGCCGAGCGCAAUCCGUGACCUGCUGCUCCCUGGUUGCUCUCUCUCUCUCUCUCAAUUAUUUUUUCUUAAAAUUUUAAAAUAUUAAAUGACAGUGUUAAAAUUUUAAAAUAUUAAAUAACAGUAUUUGUGUUUAAUUCGUAUUCAAAGUUAGCCAACUUUUGCGAGGUUUUAAAAUAACGCAUCUCACAUAGUUAGCAAAAGAACUUAUGAGUAUCCCAACUAGUUAAUACUUUUAGUUAAGUUUAUUUCUAAAAAAUGAAUGAAACAAGUAAUAUACUAUUUUUCUCUUUUAAAAAAAAAUCACUAGAUUUAGCAAAAUUUGAUAAAAAUUAUAAUCAAAUGAUCUCACAUCGUAAGAAAACAAAUUAAUGCCUAUCCCAUCUAUUUGGUUGGAAACGCACGCAUGAAAAAAAAAUAAAUAAAUAAAACUGUGAUUUGGAAAAAAAAAAAAAAAAAGAAAGAAAAAAACUCAUCUUUCCACGUUUUUUGGAAUGAAAGUUUAAUAGAGAAAAAAAUGAAGAGCAAAAAAAAUUACUCAUAAUAACAACUUUUUCUUAUCUCCUAAGUAUGAGAGAAAAAUAACAUUCUAAAAAUAUUUUUUAAUUAUUUUUAAAAAUAAGCGGGGGACUUCAAUUAUAAUCAUGCAUGCACACAAGCGCUAUCGAAUCUCAGUUACUACCCCUUAAUUCAAACAGUAUAUAUAUAUAUAUAGAGUCCGGCUACUAUACUAUCUAUAGUACGGGAGCUUCCGUACUAUAGUGUCGUUUUCGAUCUUCGGGCGUUCAAAUCAACGAUCCACACCGUUAAAACUGAUCUAGGAUAUUUAAAGUUUUUAGAAAUAAAUUUUUAUAUUUUUUCGACAUAGUUUACUUUAUGAUCAAAACAUUUUAAAAUUGUCAAUUUUCAAUGGCUAUUAUGACGAGUUGGGAGUUUAACGGUGUAGAAGAAUCUAAAUUUCUUCAAAUUUUGAUAGAAAAUACUUUAAACUAUAUAGAUUAAGGUUAACAUUCUUGAUCUUGAAUUUAAAAGUCCUAUGCUCAAAUUUUAAAGAGUAUUCAAUUCCCACCGUCAUUUUGACAUAAUUUAUUUACUAAGUAAACGAUGUCGAAAAAAUAAAAAUUUAUUUCUAAAAACUUAAAUACCCUAGAUCAUUUUUAACGUAUGGAUCGUUGAUUAAUGCCCAAGAUCGAAAACUACACUAUAGUACGGGAGCCUCCACUAUAUAUAUAUAUAUAUAUAUAUAUAUAUAUAUAUAUAUAUAUAUAUAUAUAUAUAUAUAUAUAUAUAUUACGAAUUAUGCUAUUAUAUUAUCGAUAGUAUCAAAUAUUUGAUGCUAUUAGAUUUUCGACCUUUAAAUAAAAGAACGUGUGAUUAGAAUAAUAACAAAUUCUUCGAAUUGAAUGGAUGGUUGGUUGAACAGUAUUAAUCUAAUAAAUGACAAUGAUCAAAAGAAUAAUUUUAACAGCGAAAAAUUUAAUAGCACCAAGCGUUUGAUAUAGUAUACUAUAUUUUAAAUAUUUGUCUUUUUUUGAAACAUAUAGGAAAAGUAACCACCUCAGCGAACGUAGACGGAGUAGGCUCCGUGUUCUUCCUGGAGAAGGACCUGCACCCGGGCUCAAAGAUGACCCUGCAUUUCACCCGGACCGCCUCCACCGCCACCGUGCUCCUCCCGCGCCGCGUCUCCGACUCGAUCCCUUUCUCUUCCGCCAAGCUCCCGGAGAUACUCUCCCGCUUCUCCGUCGACGCCGCCUCUGCAAGGGCUGACGCCAUCAAGAGCACCCUCACCGAGUGCGAGGCCCCAGCCCUCGGCGGCGAGGACUGGCUCUGCGUCACCUCGCUCGAGUCCAUGGUCAACUUCACCACUGCCAGCCUCGGCAUCCGCGACUUACGGGCCGUGUCCACCGCUGUCGGCCGUGAGGGUACGACACAGUGAAAUAACCGUUUUUCUCUGAAACCAAAGAAAAAAAAAUCUAGUGUAAACAUAGAAAACAAGAGAAUUUUAUGUACUAGAGAGCGUCCCAACAGAAAGAUAGUCCGAUCAAUCUCAGCUGGCAAAACUCGAGUGAUAUUUUCUUAAUAUUUUAUAUUCAACAGGCACGCCGAAGCAGGCAUAUACGAUCGAGAAUGUAAAGAAGAUGUCCACCCCAGGAUCCGAGCUGGUGGCAUGCCACGGCAUGAAGUAUGCGUACGCGGUGUUCCACUGCCACAUGACGACCGCGGCCGCCUACACCGUAUCGAUGGCGGGCGCCGACGGGACGAGGGUGGAGGCGCUCGCAGCGUGCCACACCGACGCGGCAGCCGGGUCGAGGAGGCGUUCAAGAAGCUCAACGUC